This is an RNA transcript of Siniperca chuatsi (mandarin fish), 1227 nucleotides long. RefSeq lists it as uncharacterized. Lineage: Eukaryota; Metazoa; Chordata; Actinopteri; Centrarchiformes; Sinipercidae. The transcript is spliced from 3 exons. The record is from RefSeq and is a predicted model, not a curated record.
AAUAUUUUUUAAUGCACUCAAAAUACUUGUUAAAUUGUUACUAUUUAUAUAAAUGUAAAACAAAUCCACAAAUAAAAAAACAAGGUUCAUAAAUAUAUUUCUGAUGCGCACACACAAAUAUAUGUAUUUAAAAGUAUUUGCAAUUUCCAUCAAAAACAUAUUUGGAUGUGGUUACAUUAAUAUACAAACUGUUGAACCUGCAUUUACAAACUAACUAUAAUUUGUAAACUUCACUGCAUUUGUGUGUGGGGUUUUUUGAGACUCCCUUGAUGAGGCUCAGUUCACAAAUGCAUUGUAUCUAUAGCCAAUCAAAUACUUCCUUCUGCUUCAGCCAAUCACGUAGAUGGGAGAGACUAAACCAUGGAUGCCUUGUGGGAAGACCCGCCCCUAAUCUGCCUCUGAUUGGCUAUACUGUUCCAGGCAUCUGCUAAAGCCUAGAGCUAGGAUGGUAACCGGUGCUACAAACUAGGCAGGCCUAGGAGGAGAGCGACUCAGCCAUGGCAGCUCAUGUUUUUGUUCCAGUCUUUGGCCCAGUGUGCCUGAAAUCAGCUGUAUAUAUGAGGGACUGCUUCUCUCACAGAGCAUACUUUUAAUGAGGCGCCUAAAACAGAAAAACAGCACUUGCUCUGUUACCACCCUAUCAAUCAGAGGAGUCGAACACAUGGGAAUUUCUACCACCUGGUGUUCGAGAUGCAACUGGACAGUGAGCACCACCAUCAGUACUUUUACAUGAAUGCCCAGUAAAUGGAUAAUCUAUUAUCCGUUAUCAGCAGACAACUCUAAAGGCAAACUACAAACUACAGGCAGCCCACUGAACCCAAGCAAAGGCUUGUUCGUUGCAAUCAGAUGUGGUCAAGGUGAGGGCACCAUACUUUGACAGUGGAGUAAAAAAACUUUCGCUCUGCCAGUGACUACCGCCUCAGUCUGCCCUUCAGAUCACCCGGGCCUCAGCUACCUCACCACUUUCGCCAUCGAGCCGAUCUUCACCUCCGGACACUGCCGGCCAUCCACACCACACGCCCGGCUCCAGUGAUCUUCCACCUAGUCGGCUCAGUCUUCCCGCUACGCUCGCCAGCCUGGAGCCUACUCACCUUGUCACCGUCCGGAGUGCCGUCAGUCACCCCUCCAACUCGGCUCUGCCGGAUCCUCGGAGAGGCCACGGGUGACGCCGGACUUAGUAUUCAUCAGUGUCAAUAAUAAUCUGCACAAUAAAAACCAUCACGUUCA